GAUGAACGCUGGCGGCGUGCUUAACACAUGCAAGUCGAACGGAAAGGCCCAAGCUUGCUUGGGUACUCGAGUGGCGAACGGGUGAGUAACACGUGGGUGAUCUGCCCUGCACUUCGGGAUAAGCCUGGGAAACUGGGUCUAAUACCGGAUAGGACCACAUUUUGGAUGGUGUGGUGGAAAGUUUUUCGGUGUGGGAUGAGCUCGCGGCCUAUCAGCUUGUUGGUGGGGUAAUGGCCUACCCAGGCGUCGACGGGUAGCCGGCCUGAGAGGGUGUACGGCCACAUUGGGACUGAGAUACGGCCCAGACUCCUACGGGAGGCAGCAGUGGGGAAUAUUGCACAAUGGGCGCAAGCCUGAUGCAGCGACGCCGCGUGGGGGAUGACGGCCUUCGGGUUGUAAACUCCUUUCGCUAGGGACGAAGCGUUUUUGUGACGGUACCUGGAGAAGAAGCACCGGCUAACUACGUG
This 467-nucleotide ribosomal RNA is filed under the name uncultured bacterium. Its description in RNAcentral is "partial 16S ribosomal RNA". It matches the Rfam family "Bacterial small subunit ribosomal RNA", at positions 28 to 507 of the family's 1533-position model. The record is from RNAcentral.